Molecule: RNA transcript, 2219 nt
Organism: Cucurbita moschata (crookneck pumpkin)
Lineage: Eukaryota; Viridiplantae; Streptophyta; Magnoliopsida; Cucurbitales; Cucurbitaceae
Gene name: pre-mRNA-splicing factor SPF27 homolog
Exons: 3
Source: RefSeq, a predicted model, not a curated record
AAAUUUAAAAAAAAAAAACGGAGAAAACCCAUUUCUUCUGUGAAGGCGGCUGAAGAAACUCAAUCUUCUCGCACUUGAGCUUCUAUGAAUCUGAAACUUCUAAGCUCAGUUGCUCGCUGUGGUGGCUAUGGCGAUUAACAACAAUAACGGGGAUUUCCUAAUGCUCGAAGAUCCGCCGCAACCAGCGUGGCGUGUUUCUGCAGAUGCGGAGGUAAUCGACGCCUUGGCCUACAUCGACGACGACGACUAUGUAGACCCUAGCAGAGGUCGAUCGCUUAGUGGAGGAAGAGAUGCGGCGUAGCUCCAAGAGACCGGCCGACUUUCUCAAAGACUUGCCUCCUAUUCCCAAGUUCAAAUUUGACGAUCAUCCAAUGCUUGCCAGAGAGUAUGAACGUGUAUGAGCUGGGAGGCCUCCCGUGCCUCUCGAUGUUGCAAGAUACAAAUUGGAGAUGCCAGCUCCAAAUAAAAAGAAUGUAUUUCUUGGAAGCAGACACUUCAGAAAGCUCAAUGCUUACUACGUCAUCAAGUGCUGAGUUCGAGUUGGCUGCUUGAACUCAUACAGGUCCUGGAAUUCCUGCAAUACCACGACCUCAUGUGUUGGACUACAGUUAGAGUCACCACUAGCCGAUAUUGUCCUAUUUGGACUUUCCCUUUUGGGCUUCCUCUUAAGGUUUUAAAACGCGUCUGUUAGGGGAGGUUUCCACACUCUUAUAAAGAGUGCUUCGUUCUACUCCCCAACCGAUGUGGGAUCUGACAGUUGGUAAUGUUGGGUUUCCACACCACAACUAUAUUAUUCUCAUCUGAAUUGAAUUGAUUCAUUGAUCAAGGACUUUAUUAUUGUUAGAUGCUUAUCUUUGCACAUUGGUGAACGCAUUGCAAUCCUUACUUUUGACUACAUUAGUCAGAAGAAAUGAAACAUCCAGAUGCAUUUGCUGCUGUCUAUGGCUCUUUCUUUCAUAAGCGCCUAUGUGCUCUUUCUUAGAACUCAAGUACAUGGGAGUACAACUUAUAAAAUAGAUCCUGUACAAGGUCCUGCUUAGGUGCCCUUUAAUGUUGCAUCCAUGCUAGAAACUUUAUGUUUGAGGAGGUUAUCACUUCACGUUAUUUAAGAUUGUAAAUACCCGAGAACUUUAUAUUUGGGAUCUUCAUGAUAUAAUGACAAUGAGAUUCUGCAUGCCCCUGCAACAUAAAAGUCGGUGUCUCUCUUUUGGUUAGACAUUCCAACUUUCACUUGCUUGUUGUCACAUUAUCUGAGGCAAGGGCCGUUUCUAUCAAAACUAAAAACCAUUGCAUCACAGGCAUUAGCUUUAUAGAACACUUGGCCACAUUUAUGUACAUGUCAUUUCUUAAUGUAGUAAGCAAGAAACUACAUCUGACCAACUUGACCAUAUAUGAUUGUUACUUAUAUUGUCUUGUUACUGUCAGAUUGCAACAAUUAGCUCAAGAACAGAAUGAGAAGAUGGAAAAAGUAAACCGCGAAAGAAAAUUCCAUCAAGUGAGUAACAUCCCUGUAAUUCAUAUUAUUAGUAUAAGCUAGAGGUCAAUUCUUUGGAAUUGUUGGUUGAUUUUUUAUGCAAUGGUCAGCAAAACGCUGCAUCUGAGCUUCAUGUUUUGUCCACACAAUGGAAGGAACUUUGCCAGAAAAAUAUUGAAAUCCGAGUUGUAUCCUCUCAAAUAGAGGAUCAAAUCCAGGAUCGAAGGAGAGAGGCAGAAAAAAAGUAAUCUUGCAUUUUUCUUUUUAUCUCUUUUACACACAUAUUUGGAAUAUUCAGAACCUAUCUGUGGGUUAUGAUUUCAGCUACAUGAUUUCAGAUAUGUACAGCAAGAGAGAAUACGGAGAAUACCAACCGUAUAUUUUCAAAGCUCUGCCUAAUGAAUUAUAUAUAUGGUUCAAUUUACUAUAUAUAGCUAUUUAAAUAAGUGAAUUGGAGCAUCCUAACUAUGGUUUAUGCUUUAUGCUGCUCAAAACUAGAGACUGCGGACAUCUUUUGUUACUCUUAGCAUAUGCCGAUAUGGAAGAUGAGUUCGGUUUAUGGGAGAAGAUUCAGUUGCUUUUGCUAACCACGUUAUUGGGUAACUCUCUGAUUUUUAUUUACAUUAUGUUUUGUGUAUAAAUUAUUGAACUACCAAACUGUCAAUCAAAUGGAUAAUAUUUGAUGACAAUUCAAAUUCUUUUGAUAUAAACUAAGGUACCACAGAGAAUUAUUUGCUUUGUUCAA